Molecule: non-coding RNA, 23 nt
Filed under: Rattus norvegicus (Norway rat)
Lineage: Eukaryota; Metazoa; Chordata; Mammalia; Rodentia; Muridae
Source: RNAcentral
UAGAGUACAACUUGGGAACUUUU